This 1276-nucleotide long non-coding RNA is filed under the name Triticum aestivum (bread wheat). RNAcentral's name for it is "long non-coding RNA (TAES_LNC005454)". The record is from RNAcentral. Lineage: Eukaryota; Viridiplantae; Streptophyta; Magnoliopsida; Poales; Poaceae.
CAGACACAACAGAUGGAGGUAGAUUUAUAGGACUGUUCUCACGGCGAGAUGUAAGCAGCAUUGCUUUCCCAAGCUCCAUAAACAGAUGGUUAAUAUGGUAAGAAAGUGACCUCAUCAUGUCACAGCAGGAUGAAUGCUCAGACCUUUUCUUGUCCUCUUCUGACUUCGCAUUUGCAUCAGAUGAACUGGAUGGCUGAUCCUGGGAACUUGAGGGCAACCCUGUACUAGGGUAUCUAUCAGCACCAACUCUGUGAGAGUCAGUAGCUGCACGGCCCAUAUCACGAUAGAUAUUGAUAAGGUCAGACACCUGAGACUCAAUGUUCCACCCAGAGCCCCGUCGCCUUAAAAGAGGAUCAAGAUAUUGCCUAAAGGAGGUGUAUCUGUUAUCAUCAGUGUCGCCCACAGCAGCAUCAACUUGCUGGGCCUCAUUUGCUGAAGGAGAACUAGCUUCAGGCUCUAUUUUCUUCUCAUCAAAAAGUGAAAUUUGCCAAAGCACUUCCCGGUGAACUCUUCCAAUAUCUUCCAGGACAUCCCUGCUGACAUCACCAAAUUCUGAGAGUAGAGCGUUCAUCCAGCGGUUGUCUUUUGAUGCCGCUAGGAAGAGCAGAAAUUCAACAAUAAAAAGUGAUGGAAUGGCUCCUUUUUCCAUCUUAGUCACUUCACAUGACCUAAAAACUGUAUCAAGUUCCUGUAGGGCAUUCUUCAAGUGCUCCUUUAAAGAGGAGCAGAAUGCACGCGCAAGUGGAGUAGAAUGCUGUUGAGUAAAGCCCUUAAAUACCAUAGUGCUGUGCAAAGCAAUAGGCAUCCCACCAGAAGAUUGGGUGAUGGUAGGUCGCAGCAAGAGUGUCAACAGAGUCUGUAGACCUCCCUUUUCUACAAACAGCCUGCAAGUUUCUGAAUUUUCCAUUGUCCUGUGCACCAAUACCAUAACAUGGAAAAUGCUCAAAUGAGAAAACUGCUCAUCAUUAGUUCCAUCUGUGCCAGAAUCCAUGGCACUUACUAAAUCACGCCCUUCAACAUCUGUUUCCAUAUCUGUUUUUUCUUCAGCGCUGGCUGCUUCAGUGAUUUUAUCACCACGAGGACAAGAAAGUUUGUUGAUUAUUUCAAUGAUGAUGUCAACACCAGUACUUCUAAGGGACUGCACAUGACGAAUAAGCUCUUCCACUGCAUUUGCUAAAAGAACAACACCUUCAUUCAUUGGUAUCAGAUAUUUCUUACUAGUGAACGUCUCUACAAGAAAACGCAGCGCUGAAGUUUCCCUGACAGACUCAAGUCC